ACGGGAGGCAGCAGCUAAGAAUAUUCCGCAAUGGACGAAAGUCUGACGGAGCGACGCCGCGUGGAUGAUGAAGGCCGGAAGGUUGUAAAAUCCUUUUAAGUAUGAAGAAUAAGCAGGGCAGGAAAUGGUUCUGUGGUGACGGUAAUACUUGAAUAAGCAACGGCUAAUUACGUGCCAGCAGCCGCGGUAACACGUAAGUUGCGAGCGUUGUUCGAAAUUAUUGGGCGUAAAGGACAUGUAGGCGGUUUUGCAAGCUUGGUGUGAAAGGCAGGAGCUUAACUCCUGGACUGCGUUGAGAACUGCAAGACUAGAGUCACUGAGGGGCAAUCAGAAUUCCAGGUGUAGGGGUGAAAUCUGUAGAUAUCUGGAAGAAUACCAAUGGCGAAGGCAGGUUACCAGCAGAUGACUGACGCUGAGGUGUGAAGGUGCGGGGAGCAAACAGGAUUAGAUACCCUGGUA
Molecule: ribosomal RNA, 459 nt
Filed under: uncultured Treponema sp.
Lineage: Bacteria; Pseudomonadati; Spirochaetota; Spirochaetia; Treponematales; Treponemataceae
Description: partial 16S ribosomal RNA
Rfam family: Bacterial small subunit ribosomal RNA
Source: RNAcentral